AGUGAACGCUGGCGGUAGGCCUAACACAUGCAAGUCGAACGGCAGCACAGUAAGAGCUUGCUCUUACGGGUGGCGAGUGGCGGACGGGUGAGGAAUACAUCGGAAUCUACUUUUUCGUGGGGGAUAACGUAGGGAAACUUACGCUAAUACCGCAUACGACCUACGGGUGAAAGCAGGGGAUCUUCGGACCUUGCGCGAUUGAAUGAGCCGAUGUCGGAUUAGCUAGUUGGCGGGGUAAGGGCCCACCAAGGCGACGAUCCGUAGCUGGUCUGAGAGGAUGAUCGGCCACACUGGAACGGAGACACGGUCCAGACUCCUACGGGAGGCAGCAGUGGGGAAUAUUGGACAAAGGGCGCAAGCCUGAUCCAGCCAUACCGCGUGGGUGAAGAAGGCCUUCGGGUUGUAAAGCCCUUUUGUUGGGAAAGAAAAGCAGCAGGUUAAUACCCCGCUGUUCUGACGGUACCCAAAGAAUAAGCACCGGCUAACUUCGUG
This 492-nucleotide ribosomal RNA is filed under the name uncultured bacterium. RNAcentral describes it as "partial 16S ribosomal RNA". It matches the Rfam family "Bacterial small subunit ribosomal RNA", at positions 29 to 507 of the family's 1533-position model. The record is from RNAcentral.